Molecule: ribosomal RNA, 253 nt
Filed under: uncultured bacterium
Lineage: Bacteria
Description: partial 16S ribosomal RNA
Rfam family: Bacterial small subunit ribosomal RNA
Source: RNAcentral
UACAGAGGGUGCAAGCGUUAAUCGGAAUUACUGGGCGUAAAGCGUGCGUAGACGGUUAUGUAAGUCGGGUGUGAAAGCCCCGGGCUCAACCUGGGAAUUGCAUUCGAGACUGUGUAGCUAGGGUACGGAAGAGGGAAGCGGAAUUUCAGGUGUAGCGGUGAAAUGCGUAGAUAUCUGAAGGAACACCAGUGGCGAAAGCGGCUUCCUGGACCAGUACCGACGUUCAGGCACGAAAGCGUGGGGAGCAAACAGG